Molecule: ribosomal RNA, 516 nt
Filed under: uncultured Chlorobiota bacterium
Lineage: Bacteria; Pseudomonadati; Chlorobiota
Description: bacterial SSU rRNA
Rfam family: Bacterial small subunit ribosomal RNA
Source: RNAcentral
GAGUUUGAUCAUGGCUCAGGACGAACGCUGGCGGCGUGCUUAAUACAUGCAAGUCAACGAGAAGCAGAGUGCUUGCAUUCUGUGGAAAGUGGCGCACGGGUGCGUAACGCGUAGAUAAUCUGCCCUUAGGACUGACAUAACUCCGGGAAACCGAAGCUAAUAUCAGAUAAUGCAGCGGCUCGGCAUCGAGACAGUUGUUAAAUCUUCGGAGCCUAAGGAUGAAUCUGCGUCCCAUUAGGUAGUUGGUGAGGUAACGGCUCACCAAGCCCGCGAUGGGUAGCUGGUCUGAGAGGAUGAUCAGCCACACUGGAACUGAGACACGGUCCAGACUCCUACGGGAGGCAGCAGUAAGGAAUAUUGCUCAAUGGGAGAAAUCCUGAAGCAGCAACGCCGCGUGGAGGAUGAAGGCAUAUUUGUCGUAAACUCCUGUAAGUGGGGAAAAACCAGUCUGUUUACAGACCUUGAUUGUACCCACAGAGUAAGCCCCGGCUAACUACGUGCCAGCAGCCGCGGUAA